GACGAACGCUGGCGGCGUGCUUAACACAUGCAAGUCGAGCGAGGGGAGUUCUUCGGAACAAACCUAGCGGCGGACGGGCGAGUAACACGUGGGCAACCUGCCUUGUAGAGGGGGAUAGCCUUCCGAAAGGAAGAUUAAUACCGCAUAACAUCAUAGUAUCGCAUGGUACAGUGAUCAAAGGAGCAAUCCGCUACAAGAUGGGCCCGCGGGGCAUUAGCUAGUUGGUGAGGUAACGGCUCACCAAGGCGACGAUGCGUAGCCGACCUGCGAGGGAGGGAGGCCACAUUGGGACUGAGAAGCGGCCCAGACUCCUACGGGAGGCAGCAGUGGGGAAUAUUGCACAAUGGGGGAAACCCUGAUGCAGCAACGCCGCGUGAGUGAUGACGGCCUUCGGGUUGUAAAGCUCUUUGAUUAGGGACGAUAAUGACGGUACCUAAAAAACAAGCCACGGCUAACUACGUGCCAGCAGCCGCCGUAAAAC
This 481-nucleotide ribosomal RNA is filed under the name uncultured bacterium. Its description in RNAcentral is "bacterial SSU rRNA". It matches the Rfam family "Bacterial small subunit ribosomal RNA", at positions 28 to 526 of the family's 1533-position model. The record is from RNAcentral.